Molecule: long non-coding RNA, 513 nt
Organism: Etheostoma cragini (Arkansas darter)
Lineage: Eukaryota; Metazoa; Chordata; Actinopteri; Perciformes; Percidae
Exons: 4
Source: RefSeq, a predicted model, not a curated record
ACGUCUGGGGCAGCGUCUGCAGGGGCCAGGGCUCUUAAGGUCGUGUCCUUUUAGUCCUCGGUGUUGUAGUCUGGUUAUACUCCGCGGGGAAACGUCAUGUCAUGCCCGCUGUGUUGAGUCGUUUGGUUUGGUUUUCGAGUGACACCGAGGAACCUCACUGUCCCCGGACUCGGUCGGCAACAUGGUUUAAUGUCGGACAGAGACAGAGACAGAGACAGAGACAGAGAGACUGGGAAUGGGUCUCAGCAGCUGAGACAGACCCAGAGGAGGAGAGCAGCAGUAACAUGACACCUCUGCCUGAUUGGCUGAGCACGUAAUGACGAGUUGCCACAUAUCCGAAGUGGAUUCACUAAACCAGUUCUAGCUAGCUUAAGUUAGUUAAGCUAAAUCUGGCUAAAAGUAGCCUAGCCCCGUCUAACCUAACCUGUGGUAUUAUGGCGUAAAAAGUUUGAAAAUAGGCCUACUGUAGAAAUGUUAUAGAAAUUCACAGUACGUUAAAUAGCCUUUAUAAAG